CCCCUCUCAGGGUCACACCUGGAGAGUUCCAGUACUCUACCAGUCUCGACUAUGGGAGGGAGAGUUAAGGAGAGUCAUACUCAUUCCAUUCCUAGCUUGGGUAGUGGCUAGUGAGUGGAAGGCAAUCUGCUACAAGU
This 137-nucleotide small nucleolar RNA is filed under the name Ornithorhynchus anatinus (platypus). Lineage: Eukaryota; Metazoa; Chordata; Mammalia; Monotremata; Ornithorhynchidae. The record is from RNAcentral.